This is a long non-coding RNA of Mizuhopecten yessoensis (Yesso scallop), 356 nucleotides long. RefSeq lists it as uncharacterized. The transcript has 3 exons. Lineage: Eukaryota; Metazoa; Mollusca; Bivalvia; Pectinida; Pectinidae. The record is from RefSeq and is a predicted model, not a curated record.
UAUCUUCUAGGUAGUUCGGUACGAGACCAUGGACCAUUUUGUGAAAGUGGAUUAUCUUGUGAUGUUUUCGCCUUUGCUAGAGAGGAAGCCAGUCCGUUUAAAGAUGGAAACACCCCCGAGAUAAGAGACUUGUUAAAGAGGACACUGAACGGGAUACAUAGAAUAUCUGCCGCUUCUUUAAGAAGUCAAGGAUUCACAAGAUCAGGACCGACAGCUUAGAACAAUCAAGUCUAAGAAACCAAAAGAAAAAGAUACAAGAGGAAUGAGAGAGUGACAAAUUCGACUGCAACAGAGGAAUGAGAAACAAAGAAGAAUUGACGGAGAGACAACAGAUUGACAGACACAGAGGAGAAAGU